GAUGAAGAACGUAGCGAAAUGCGAUAAGUAGUGUGAAUUGCAGAAUUCAGUGAAUCAUCGAAUCUUUGAACGCACCUUGCGCCCUUUGGCUAUUCCGAAGGGCAUGCCUGUUUGAGUAUCAUGAACACCUCAACUCUCAUGGUUUUUCCAUGAUGGGCUUGGACUUUGGGGGUCUUGCCGGCCUAUGGUCAGCUCCUCUUAAAUGAAUCAGCUUGCCAGUGUUUGGUGUGGCAUCACAGGUGUGAUAACUAUCUACGCUUGUGGUUUUCCAUCAAGUAACCUUCAGUGAUGGAGGUUCGCUGGGGCUCAUAAAGGCCUCUCCUCGGUGAGGAUGGCUCCUUUGAACGUUUGAUCUCAAAUCAGGUAGGACUACCCGCUGAACUUAAGCAUAUCAAUAAGCGGAGGA
Molecule: unclassified non-coding RNA, 406 nt
Filed under: soil metagenome
Description: partial contains 5.8S ribosomal RNA, internal transcribed spacer 2, and large subunit ribosomal RNA
Rfam family: 5.8S ribosomal RNA (bases 1-121)
Source: RNAcentral